AACUGAGCAAAUGGAGGCAGUGAGACUCAGGCACCUCAGUAGUGCAGCUUUCCACUCUAGCAAAGCUGAUUUUAUUAGCUUGCUUCUUUCAAAUUGGAAACAGUCCAGUUUGUAAAUCCACCCUUGUAUUCUACUAAUCCACCUUAGAUCUGACUGCUUACUGGUCAUCUUCUAAAUGAGAAAUGCUCUAAUGGUUUUUAUGUGCAAACACAAUACUGUAGGUACCUAACCAUCAAUAACUGUAAAAAUGACAUAGUAAUCUGAAUGGUUGUGGUAAAGGUGAACCUUUUCUAGAAUCCAUUUUAUAAAUCUAGAAAAGGGUUGUCAUUUGUGACUAGAAACUAUGUGAUCAUUGUCAAAAUGCCUGAAAAGUUUCUCAAGAUUAUAUAGCAAAUGAGAAGCUGACCUGGAAUUUGCACCUGUCUGUUCUCAGUGUUUUGGAAAAAAUGUCGAUAUCAGAAUUACUUUGAAGACCUCACGGUUUUUGCUGUCAUAUUUCUGCGCAGGAGUAAAAGAAAAGGAAGAAUAUAUCAGUCCAAAUUCUUUCAUUUUCUAAGUAGCAAUGAAAGCAAUUUAUUGGCUUAAGCUAGAAGUCUGGGAAGGAGAACAGGCAUGGCUGGACUCAGAGACUCAAUUUCUCCCUCUUCCGUUCUUGCUCUUUGUUUGUGUUGGUUUCUCAGGUGAGUCGGAUGAGCUCCCGCCUUGGAGGAGCCGCAGAGCCUAAGGGAGCCUGAUUUCUCAGGCAGGCUCCUGCCAGACCCUGGAAAAGCAUCCUUCUGACCAAGAAGGGGGAAUGCAGCUCCUCCAGAAUGCCGGCUGACCCCCGAGAUUCCUGCCAGCACCUACCAACAAGGCCCCUUCCUGCUUCACGGGACCUCUAGAAACGCCCCAAGUAAUGCAAGCUGUGUGUGUUCACCACCUGCGCUUGAUUAACUGGCCGCAGGGCAGGCCCUGAGUACAGGAACCCGAACUCGGCCUCACGCGGAGUCUCUGCCCGACACUCCAGCCACCAUUCAACACACCCCUCACCGCACCACCCAGGGACUGCCUCUCGCUCCCUUGCCUUACAUUUCCUGCCGAGGAUAAAAGCAGUGUUCAGUGCCAUAAGUGAUUCAACUGGAGCCAUGCAGGUGAAACCAGGCAGUGAUCUCAAGGUAAUGUGACCUGCCACACUUCCAGCCGCUGUGGCAGAGGCCAACGUGGUGUGAUUCCCCAUCAGUGGAGGUCGGGAUCACUUUAGGAUUCGCUAAAGUUCUCGGAUGCUCCAAGCUGCAAAAGUUGCUCUUUCUCUGAACCAGGAAUCCAAAGGUCACGACUGCUGCAUCUGCUUCUUGCCUCUUCCAUUCCAUAAACCAUGAGGUUUUGCACAUCUUUGGGAAAUCCAAAUUACAACUUUUCUCUGGCAUAGGAAAAGGCGAGGACGGUUUGAAUUCUUUGGCAUUUCCCUGAAGUGGACUGUAGAUCUGAUCUAGUGACUUAGUUCCACAUGUAUAAUUAAUGGGGAGUGUGUUCACAGCUCUUACUAAGCUGCUUGAUUGACAUUGUGAAGCCAGCAGAUGCAGGGCUGGUCUGUCAGCCAAUCAGAAUUUCUGAGGACAGAUAACACAAGGUCACGAAUGAAGAUUGUAUCUUGACAGGCCUUGAAGGGAAGUGAAAAUAACCAGGUUUUGAUUUGCACCCAUGGUCACUGCAAACUCCAAAGAUGUCAUUUUCAGAUAUUUCCUUGUUUUCCUUAAGAGUCAUAAUACGUCAGGCUCAGCUAGAUGAAGAACUAAAUUAAAGGUGUCAUUUCAGCUCAUAAAUAACAGAUGUCUAAUGCAUUUAAUUAUUUAUAGUCUUGAAUCUUUCAAAAAUGAAAAUGACUCUACACAUUUUUAAUGCAGUUCUUGGUAAUUUGCCGCCUGACUGAUAAGAUUUGCCAACAAUCCUGGAUUGCAAACAUGAAAAAUAAAACUGAGACAGACUCGUUAUUUCGCAAGAUUGCUUCUUUGCUCCCUUGUGGCUUUAACAAAAUUUAAAUUAAAGUGAAAUCUAAUCACAACAAAAUGAUGUUCAUAUACUGAUAUUAAUAAUUGAGUUUUCUGAGAUCGUGUGGUGGGUGCCUGGCUGCCAGAGACUUUUGCACUGCCUGAAAAAUCAAUGCUUUAUCCUUCUCUGAACUCUAUCCUGAUUGCCCUAAUCAUAGCUUAAUAAAGAACGCUUACACCUGGCCCCUGAGCAUGCCUCCCAGAUCAUAUCUGCAGAUUUGGCAAGGACUUAAGUAUGGUUAAGAAAGGCCAAUGUGACAUCAGUGACACCAGGAAGUGCCCUUCAUUCCUAGAGUAUUAAUCUCUUCAUUGGGUGAAAAAUAGGUUUUCAUCAGACUCCAAAAUGGCUUAAAUUCACACUGAGCUUAAACGGCCUAUGUUAGAUCCUGAUAAUAAUUUUUAAUAAGAUAAAAGAAGAAAUACUUAAGAUGCCUCCAUUAUUUGAGGAAUCACUUUCUUGGUGAGCAAAGAAAAACUUGCUUUUGGUCUAGUGGUAUAACAAAAAGUGAAUUAAUUUGGGGAUAAUAAUAAAAAAAAUGUCAGUUUGAAUUUUAGUUCUAACAAUUAUAAGCUAGUGUCCUUGAGUAAAUUACUUAAAAUCUUUAGGGCUCAGAUUCUUUAUUUCUAAAAUCAACAUAA
This is a long non-coding RNA of Manis pentadactyla (Chinese pangolin), 2666 nucleotides long. RefSeq lists it as uncharacterized. The record is from RefSeq and is a predicted model, not a curated record. The transcript has 5 exons. NCBI's taxonomy places the organism in Eukaryota, Metazoa, Chordata, Mammalia, Pholidota, Manidae.